This is a long non-coding RNA of Lacerta agilis (Sand lizard), 188 nucleotides long. RefSeq lists it as uncharacterized. The record is from RefSeq and is a predicted model, not a curated record. The transcript has 3 exons. Lineage: Eukaryota; Metazoa; Chordata; Lepidosauria; Squamata; Lacertidae.
CCUGUAUGUUUUGAUGUCAUAAAUACCUCUCUGAAUAUCCAGAAUUCAUGAAGGAAAGGAGCAACGUCACCACCUUUUUGCGUCCCUCAAACAGAGUCAACCAAAUCAGGUGCCCCUUCCUUUGUGUCAGCGCCUGUCUGCAAUUUCCUGACACUACAGCAGUUCCAGUAGAACUGUGGUGGAAAGUU